GCCGGGCCGGUUUUCUUUUUUUCUUUCUCUGAUUUCUUUCAUAUCUUUUGAUUUUGAACUCCAAAUUGAUCCAAAUAAAUUCCAUAAAAUUUGUAAAAUUGUAAUAUAAUAUGAUUCAACUUUUCGGACUAAUCUCCCUUCCAAAUAAAAUAUAGAAAAAUAUAUUUGCCCUAUAAAUGCCUUUAGGGCUUUAUAACUAUUUAAAUAAAAUAGUUUUUCAACUCCAAAUUAAAUAUUGAAAAUUAUGGGAUAGCUCAUAU
Molecule: long non-coding RNA, 260 nt
Filed under: Brachypodium distachyon (stiff brome)
Lineage: Eukaryota; Viridiplantae; Streptophyta; Magnoliopsida; Poales; Poaceae
Description: long non-coding RNA (BDIS_LNC003354)
Source: RNAcentral